This 348-nucleotide ribosomal RNA is filed under the name uncultured Methanoplanus sp. Its description in RNAcentral is "partial 16S ribosomal RNA". It matches the Rfam family "Archaeal small subunit ribosomal RNA", at positions 343 to 699 of the family's 1478-position model. Lineage: Archaea; Methanobacteriati; Methanobacteriota; Methanomicrobia; Methanomicrobiales; Methanomicrobiaceae. The record is from RNAcentral.
AAAACUUUACAAUGCAGGAAACUGUGAUAAGGGAACCCCGAGUGCCCGUAUAUGGGGAAAGGCGGGAUGUGUAAAAAGCAUCCGAAGAAAGGGGGGGGAAAAAACGGUGCCAGCCGCCGCGGUAAUACCGGCGGGUCGAGUGGUGGCCACUUCUAUUGGGCUUUCAAAUCAUAGAAGCUUGAAUAAUAAGUCUCUUAGGAAAUCUGCAGGCUUAACCUGCAGGCGUUUAAAAAAAACUGUUGUUCUAGGAUCCCGAAAAGGUGAGAGGGACUCCGGGGGGAGGAGUAAAAUCUUGUAAUCCCGGGGGGCCCCCGAUGGGGAAGGUUCUCCCCGGGCGGGUUCACAGUG